ACGUUGCCGCACGGAGACACGAAGCUGUCGGUCUGAUAUUCAUGAACUUUGGAACCUGGAUUAAAAAUGAUACUGAUUUCACAAGACGCGGAAUCCGAGUGGACGCCCAGCCUGAUCAAAGAAACGUGUGGAUCCGACUGAAAUUGAGCCAGUGUUCAUCGAGGACUAGUUUGGUGCCUUGUAGUCGACCGACGAGUGAUGCCAAGUAGGCUGCGGGAGCGCCAUGUUUGAAAUUGCUGCGUUGGUCAUUCUAGCAGCACACAAGGAGAGACCCGACCAUGGCCUCUCAGCAGCGGUUUGUUUGGUUGCUGGCGUCCCUGAAACAUUUGAGAGAUACACUGGCAUCUGGAGCUAGCAGUUCGUCAGGCCUAUGGCGGCUUGUACUUGACCGACGAGUAAGCCUCAGUGAUGCCAAGUAGGCCGCGGGAGCGCCAUGUUUGAAAUCGCUGCGUUGGUUAUUCGAGCAGUACUCAAGGAGAGAUCCGACCAUGGCCUCUUAGCGGCGGUUUGUUUGGUUGCUGGCGUCCCUGAAACAUUUGAGGAUAUAUAAUGGCAUCUGGAGUGAGCAGUUGAUCGAUUAUGGAUUCCCUUCAAUCAAGCUGAGGAUUCCCUUCAAUCAAGCUGAGGAUUCCCUUCAAUCAAGCUGAGGAUUCCCUUCAUUGAAGCUGAGGAUCGCUUCCGUCAAGCUGAGGAAUCGCUACAAGGUGCCUGGCGGACCCCGCCCAACCCAUCAAAGGUUGGUUAAGUCAAAGAACUGUUCCAAUGGCGGGUCCAGAAGACAUCUCAGGGUAGGAGCUGUUGCGGGUUUUGCUAUGCUACGCUGCUGAUGCUGUUGAAGGCCAACGCUAGGCCUCUUGGUGUGCUGGUUUGGUUUGAUUCUCUGCUGAGAGUCAGUGAGCUGAGAAGGAUUCUGCUGUUUUAAUCCUUCUGUCAUUGGGUUUUUAGUGGUGUUUGUAGCAGUUGCUGUGGUCUUGUGACCUGUGAAGGUUUGGGUUUAACUAGACUCUGAAGCUCCUGGCUUAAAGUCAGUUGUGAUGUGAGAUAAAGAUGGCUGCCAAUUAUUUGGCAAAUACAAUUUAGAGGUUUUAGGAAGUGAUUCAGCUUAGACGUUAUAAACCUUGAUAACAUACCUACUUAUUAGUAACAAUGUAAUGUGGCUAUGUUGACAUUAAUAUAGCUCCAUCAGGAUAAUAUUUAUCUUUCCAAUGACUAUCAAAUAUAUUUUUGGGUAAAGAUGAGGUCUUUAU
Long non-coding RNA from Gambusia affinis (western mosquitofish), 1247 nucleotides. RefSeq lists it as uncharacterized. Lineage: Eukaryota; Metazoa; Chordata; Actinopteri; Cyprinodontiformes; Poeciliidae. The record is from RefSeq and is a predicted model, not a curated record. The transcript has 3 exons.